Long non-coding RNA from Nomascus leucogenys (northern white-cheeked gibbon), 1499 nucleotides. RefSeq lists it as uncharacterized. Lineage: Eukaryota; Metazoa; Chordata; Mammalia; Primates; Hylobatidae. The record is from RefSeq and is a predicted model, not a curated record. The transcript has 3 exons.
UGACUGAAAGACAGAAGCAUUUGGGAUACAUAACAGAAGUCAUUAAAAAGAGCCAUGUAAUAUGUGCCUGCUUCCCCUUCUGCCAUGAUUGUAAGUUUCCUGAUGCCUUCCCAGCCAUGCAGAACUAGUCUCACUCUGUUGUCCAGGCUGAAGUGCAGUGGCGCAAUCUCGGCUCACUGCAACCUCCACCUCAGGGGUUCAAAUGAUUCUUCUGCCUCAGCCUCCCAAGUAGAUGGGAUUACAGGCAUGUGCCACCAUGCCCAGCUAAUUUUUGUGUUUUUAGUAGAGACUGGGGUUUCACCAUGUUGGCCAGGCUGUUCUCAGACUCCUGACCUCAGGUGAUCCAUCUGCCUCAGCCUCCCAAAUUGCUGGGAUUACAGGCAUGAGCCACUGCACCAAGCCUUAUUCUAUUGAUUAUUAUAAGAAGUGUUAACAUCUUGAACUAUGAUUAUAUAUGCAUCAUUUUAAGCAUAUACAUUUGAUUUUGUUAAGUCCUCCUGAAGAAGUCUGUUUAUAAUAUUGAAUAUCCUAGUUGAUCAUUGUUUUAAAUUUUACUUUUUUAUAUUAAUGUUUUUCACUUAAUGUAACUCUGAUGAAUGCUACUGCAGUAUGCCUGGAAGUGGAAAUUACAAUAUGAAUAUUUUUAAUGAGGAAAAAAACUGGCUUUUAAUUUUCAAGUGAGUCUUAUGUACUCCCCCACAUAUUUAGACAUAUAUGUGUGUGUGCACGCGUGCCUAUAUAUACUUACAUACUUCAUAUAUAUACACACACAUAUAUAUGUAUGUGAAGAGAGAGAGAAUAUGUAUACACACAUACCAUAUUUAGCAAGUUUUUAAGUGCUUUAGGUGUUGAGCUGUGAAUGAGAAAAAAGAGCAGGGGAUUCAAAUAAAAAUAAUGUGGCCUUAACAUAAUUAUUGGUAUCUUAGAUUUUGUUUCUAUUUACUGUUGAAUUUUAGGUAAAAAUUCAGAAUAUCUUAGAAUAGCUCAUCAAAUUUCCAGUCAAUGAUAUAACCCAGCCCCAACCCAUAGAACAUGAUACACUGCAUUUUUACAUAUUAUAGUUCUUUGAUAUAUCUAGUGAGAAGCAUUAUUUAUCAAUUUUCUUUAAUGUCUUAUUGUAUUGUAUAUUAUAUAAAUAAACUCUAUUAGUAUAUUCCUGUUUAAAAAUGAUUUUUGUAAGGCUUCACUAACUUGAAAUUUCCAGACAAAGAAAAACUUGUACCAUCCCUUUUUUCCUUUAACGAAAUCAAGUAAAUCUGAAUGCAUUAGUGGUCUACAUUUCCACUGAGGAUAAUUGACAGGCACUGAUGUCUCCCCUUUUAAGUAACUGUCAAAGGGUAUCCUAAGAGGCUCUAGGGAAUAUGGUAAGCCAUUGCUAAUGAUGUUUAUAUGUCUGAAUAUCACCCUAACAAUGUAACACUCUCCCAUUAACAAAAUUGUUUCUAAAAUUACCAUCAACAUUAUUCCAAUAAAUGUAAUCUUGUUAUUUCAUUAUGAAA